UUUUGUUUCCAGGGGGGAUUGCCCGUGUGUGGAGAGACUCUAUAUGUUUGUUUACGAUUGUAUGUGUUUUCCUGUGUUGGCAUGUUCUGCAUUUGUGUGCAUUCUGGUGAGAGACUGGAGGUGGUGUGAGGGGCAGGGGGCAUAUGCACACUUGUGUGUGUCUGAGUGUGUCUGGAUGCUGGUGCCCCCACCUACAUUUGUGUUCUGUUCCUGGAACAGCGCCAUGGGGCAAGCGUGGCUGGAAGAUGUUCCACACCUUACUGCGAGGGAUGGUUCUCUACUUCCUGAAGGGAGAAGACCACUGCCUGGAGGGGGAGAGCUUGGUGGGGCAGAUGGUGGAUGAGCCCGUGGGGGUGCACCACUCGCUGGCCACCCCUGCCACCGAUUACACCAAGAAGCCGCACGUCUUCCAACUGCGCACGGCUGACUGGCGCCUCUACCUCUUCCAGGCACCCACUGCCAAGGAGAUGAGCUCCUGGAUCGCGCGCAUCAACUUGGCUGCGGCCACGCACUCCGCGCCGCCCUUCCCCGCCGCUGUGGGCUCC
This 545-nucleotide small RNA is filed under the name Pongo abelii (Sumatran orangutan). RNAcentral describes it as "retained intron". Lineage: Eukaryota; Metazoa; Chordata; Mammalia; Primates; Hominidae. The record is from RNAcentral.